Molecule: long non-coding RNA, 803 nt
Organism: Ailuropoda melanoleuca (giant panda)
Lineage: Eukaryota; Metazoa; Chordata; Mammalia; Carnivora; Ursidae
Exons: 3
Source: RefSeq, a predicted model, not a curated record
UAAAGGGCAUGGAGAGGAAGCCCUCCCCAUCCCACAACAGACUGAGAGACCACAAUGUGGAACCAGCCCUGUGCCCAGCAACAUUCCCAGGGCAGCAGAAGGAGCCUGGUGAGGAAGCAAGAGAAAAAUGAGGCGUCUCAUGAGGCACUGGCAUGGAAACUUCUAGAACCACAAAUCAAACAUCAAACCAGGACAACAGGAAUUUUACCACCUGUGGGGCAGGUUGGCAGCCAGUUGGUUAGCCCCCCUUAAGUGGCUCUACCUCCACAUGUAAAAAAAAUCUGGAGAACAGUCACAGAAUACUGGUGGUGCACGAACGAGCAGAAGAUGGGAUCAAAUCAGAGAACACAGAAGGUCUGUGGAAAGUACCAGAGUGGGAGCCUCGAUUUAUGAUUUUCAUGCAAGAUGCACAUAGCCCUCACAUGUAUGGAACACAUCACUGCAAUCUUUGAGAUACCCCAAGUGACACCUACCAUAAGGCUCUAGUUUCAGUCUUAAAUGAAACUGAUGACUAAUGACUAUUACUUUAAAUAGAACAUAAUAUGCUUGAAGAAAAUAUAAGAUUAACACCCGUGCUAACACAUUGGGCGGUAUUAGAUUUUCCCAAUGCUAACACAUUUGGCAGUAUUUUUCUACUUUGGUAAAGAAUUUGAGUUGCUUAUAAAUUUAUGCUGAGUCCCGUGGGAUGCUUUCAGACACUGAAGCAAGCAGCCCCACUCUUUCAGAGAGUUGUGUAUAUAAUACCUACUGUUCCUAUAUUUCCAUUAAAAUGCAAUUAUCCUUCUUGGGAAAAAAUAAAGGUC